UGACCCGGCCGUUCACGACGCCAAAGACCAAAGAACCGGGGAAAGAACCAACCCGCCCCCACCGCCCCCGCAGCUCACCCGCAGGGGUGAACAUCACCAACUCGGCUGGCAUGGAGGGCAGUCGAUGGUGCAGCGUCAGCGCAGACAAGCCCACAAACGAAUACGGCCCCCGCCGGGACUGCCAUCCCACUGCGAGGGCCUGAUCACCAAGGAAGCGAGACCCUUCCCG
This 229-nucleotide non-coding RNA is filed under the name Streptomyces viridochromogenes DSM 40736. RNAcentral's name for it is "Streptomyces sRNA 4677". It matches the Rfam family "Streptomyces sRNA 4677". Rfam says of the family: Located in the intergenic region between anti-sigma factor SCO4677 gene and a putative regulatory protein gene SCO4676. scr4677 expression requires the SCO4677 activity and scr4677 sRNA itself seem to affect the levels of the SCO4676-associated transcripts. The record is from Rfam by way of RNAcentral. Lineage: Bacteria; Bacillati; Actinomycetota; Actinomycetes; Kitasatosporales; Streptomycetaceae.